GACAGAGGGGGCAAGCGUUGCUCGGAAUUACUGGGCGUAAAGGGCGCGUAGGCGGGAUGGCAAGUCGGUCGUGAAAUCCUUCGGCUCAACCGAAGAACGUCGAUCGAUACUGCUGUUCUUGAGGGUUGCAGAGGAGACUGGAAUUCCCGGUGUAGCGGUGAAAUGUGUGGAGAUCGGGAGGAACACCGGUGGCGAAGGCGGGUCUCUGGGCCUUACCUGACGCUCAGGUGCGAAAGCUAGGGGAGCGAACAGG
RNAcentral lists this ribosomal RNA (253 nucleotides) under uncultured bacterium. Its description in RNAcentral is "partial 16S ribosomal RNA". It matches the Rfam family "Bacterial small subunit ribosomal RNA", at positions 524 to 776 of the family's 1533-position model. The record is from RNAcentral.